RNAcentral lists this ribosomal RNA (253 nucleotides) under uncultured bacterium. Its description in RNAcentral is "partial 16S ribosomal RNA". It matches the Rfam family "Bacterial small subunit ribosomal RNA", at positions 524 to 776 of the family's 1533-position model. The record is from RNAcentral.
UACGAAGGGGGCUAGCGUUGUUCGGAUUUACUGGGCGUAAAGCGCCCGUAGGCGGAUUGUUAAGUGAGGGGUGAAAUCCCAGGGCUCAACCCUGGAACUGCCUUUCAUACUGGCAAUCUCGAGUCCGGAAGAGGUGAGUGGAACUCCUAGUGUAGAGGUGGAAUUCGUAGAUAUUAGGAAGAACAUCAGUGGCGAAGGCGGGUCUCUGGGCCGAUACUGACGCUGAGGAGCGAAAGCGUGGGGAGCGAACAGG